GGAGAGCAGCCACGUCUCCUCCAUCGAGAGGCGGAGAGGGCGAAUUAGUGGCAAGCAAAGUUCAGCCACGUCUCCCUCCGGAAGGUGGAGUAGAGCGUUUGUGCACAAUCUCGACAUUGAAAGAGGCGUUUUUGCUCACAAUUUUGAAAUCCGAUGAAUGUAUUGAAGCUGGAAAUUGCAUGCAGCCAGAUCGCAUUCCCUCCCGAGGUAAGAGUUUUAAUCCAUGAGUUGCAGCUUCGUAUCCCCUGGUUUGUGUUCAUGUUUUUGAGAUUUGAUUGUCAUCGGGCUCCGAAUUCAUGAGUCAGGAACAGCCGAACAGAUGUUUGCUGAGCAUGUCUUGAUUUCAUAGCCUUUUGUAUGUGUCUGGUUUAGUUUAUCAUCGCUGCACAUGUCAGGUAUGUGAAUUUUUAGUUUAGAGAGAAUCGAACCCGAGAGUAUUUGAUAUCAGGAUCCAUGUAAACUCCUUGAUCUUUGUCUCGUAGAUGUAAAUCCACUAAGAUGUCUGAAAUAACAAGCUAGCUGCCAAUCUACUUUUCACUAAUGUGCUUGCUUUGCAUCAGUUGAUUACAUUAAAGGAACCUAACGCAGUCACGCAAAGUGAGGAUCAUAAUACUGAAGUUGAAGGAACAAGUUCUCUCUUCAUUUGGGAUAAGUUUGAUCACAAUGUCACAAAUUACCAUGUAGUAGCUAGAUUGGCUACAAAUCAAACCGGAUUACAGCGUUGCAAGCUAUUUGUUUGAUUUUCAAAGGUCUUUGUUGCUCAUGGUUUAUAUGGUUGAUGCAAUGGGCAAUGGUUUUAGCAGUGAAGGCAAAAUAGUUGGUUUAGAUGCAUCUCGUGAUCUUGUUGUUCUAAAGGGAAUUCAAGCGGUCCAUUGAUCAAUUCAUAUGGUCAUACUAUUAAAGUUAAUACAUCUACCUUCACUUGCAAAGGGUCAGGAACAUCAUCUGGUGUUAACUGUGCAAUACCAAUAGUCCAAUAGACUCUGUUGUGUGAACUGGACCAUAGCUUGUUGUAUAUGGAACCUGUUAUAGUAAGAGGUUCUGGUCAAUGUAAUCCAUUGUACUGUAUCUAAUGCGUCGGUCGUUCUAAAGUCAUGUGGGGAAACGAGUUGAAUAGGUUUCAUUGAACGCAAUUCAAAUUCUAAAUGAAUAUUGAUCGAUUGACUCAUUGAGAGAUCGAUUGACUCAUUGAGAAACCAUUCAAUUUCUGUC
Fragaria vesca subsp. vesca is the source of this 1212-nucleotide RNA transcript. It is a transcript of the gene named protease Do-like 5, chloroplastic-like, with no coding region annotated. The transcript is spliced from 5 exons. NCBI's taxonomy places the organism in Eukaryota, Viridiplantae, Streptophyta, Magnoliopsida, Rosales, Rosaceae. The record is from RefSeq and is a predicted model, not a curated record.